This 497-nucleotide ribosomal RNA is filed under the name uncultured bacterium. RNAcentral's name for it is "partial 16S ribosomal RNA". It matches the Rfam family "Bacterial small subunit ribosomal RNA", at positions 28 to 507 of the family's 1533-position model. The record is from RNAcentral.
GAUGAACGCUGGCGGCGUGCCUAAUACAUGCGAGUCGAGCGAACAGACGAGGAGCUUGCUCCUCUGACGUUAGCGGCGGACGGGUGAGUAACACGUGGAUAACCUACCUAUAAGACUGGGAUAACUUCGGGAAACCGGAGCUAAUACCGGAUAAUAUAUUGAACCGCAUGGUUCAAUAGUGAAAGACGGUUUUGCUGUCACUUAUAGAUGGAUCCGCGCCGCAUUAGCUAGUUGGUAAGGUAACGGCUUACCAAGGCAACGAUGCGUAGCCGACCUGAGAGGGUGAUCCGCCACACUGGCACUCAGACACCCUCCACACUCCUCCGCGGGGCAGCAGUAGGGUCUCUUCCCCGAUGGGCGACAGCCUUGCGGAGCCCCGCCGCGUGAGUGAUUAAGGUCUUCCGAUCGUAGAACUCUGUUAUUAGGGAAGAACGCAUGUCUACGUAGCUAUGCCCGUCUUGACGGUACCUACUCAGAAAGCCCCUCCUAACUCCGUG